Molecule: ribosomal RNA, 439 nt
Filed under: uncultured bacterium
Lineage: Bacteria
Description: bacterial SSU rRNA
Rfam family: Bacterial small subunit ribosomal RNA
Source: RNAcentral
AACGAACGCUGGCGGCGUGCCUAACACAUGCAAGUCGAGCGCGAAUGGAGCAAUCCUAGUAGCGCGGCGCACGGGUGCGUAACACGUGGGUAAUCUGCCUGGGAGACCGGAAUAACCUGCCGAAAGGCUGGCUAAUACCGGAUAAGCCCACGGACUCUUCGGAGUCUGAGGGAAAAGGUGGCCUCUGUAUACAAGCUAUCACUUCCAGAUGAGCCCGCGGCCCANCAGCUCGUUGGCGGGGUAAAGGCCCACCAAGGCAACGACGGGUAGCUGGUCUGAGAGGACGAUCAGCCACACUGGAACUGAGACACGGUCCAGACUCCUACGGGAGGCAGCAGUGGGGAAUUUUGCACAAUGGGCGAAAGCCUGAUGCAGCAACGCCGCGUGUGUGAUGAAGGUCUUCGGAUCGUAAAGCACUUUCGACCGGGACGAACCCGUU